GUACAAAAUAUCUUGAGAAGGAUGUAGUGAAAGCAUGUUCAUUCUCAUUUUCUUUUCAUUCUAAUUUAUAGACACAGAAAUUGGGACUCCAGCAAGUUCAAUGACCAAUUACCCUAGAUGGCAGACUAUCUAUCUUCCGUAUUCAACCUUGAUUAGCUGUAAACAGCUGUCUGAAAGAUGAAGAAAUGAAGCAAACCUGGUUAAGUGAUGUGCCCAGGUUGACACAGCUAGUGAGUUG
This 238-nucleotide long non-coding RNA is filed under the name Monodelphis domestica (gray short-tailed opossum). RNAcentral's name for it is "lncRNA (ENSMODG00000035781.2)". Lineage: Eukaryota; Metazoa; Chordata; Mammalia; Didelphimorphia; Didelphidae. The record is from RNAcentral.